CAGUCGCCACGGUAAUACGUAGGGUGCGAGCGUUGUCCGGAAUUAUUGGGCGUAAAGAGCUUGUAGGCGGUUUGUCGCGUCUGCUGUGAAAAUCCGGGGCUCAACCCCGGACUUGCAGUGGGUACGGGCAGACUAGAGUGUGGUAGGGGAGACUGGAAUUCCUGGUGUAGCGGUGAAAUGCGCAGAUAUCAGGAGGAACACCGAUGGCGAAGGCAGGUCUCUGGGCCACUACUGACGCUGAGAAGCGAAAGCAUGGGGAGCGAACAGGAUUAGAGACCCGUGUAGUCCCUGUCUCUUAUAC
Molecule: ribosomal RNA, 301 nt
Filed under: uncultured bacterium
Lineage: Bacteria
Description: partial 16S ribosomal RNA
Rfam family: Bacterial small subunit ribosomal RNA
Source: RNAcentral